RNAcentral lists this ribosomal RNA (516 nucleotides) under uncultured marine eukaryote. RNAcentral describes it as "SSU rRNA". It matches the Rfam family "Eukaryotic small subunit ribosomal RNA", at positions 620 to 1145 of the family's 1831-position model. The record is from RNAcentral.
UUAAAAGCUCGCUAGUUGGAUAUUUGUUGAGACGCCGUCUACCCCAGUGGUCAGCACACGGUUUGUUCUCGGCACUUUCCUGGGGAGAGUGUUUGCACUUCAUUGUGUGGCACAUGAUCCAGAACUUUUACUUUGAGGAAAUGAGAGUGUUUCAAGCAGGCGCCUGUCGUGAAUACGUUAGCAUGGAAUAAUAGCAUGGGACCGCGGUCUGAAGCUGUUGGUUUUUGGGCCGUGGUAAUGAAAAUAGGGAUAGUUGGGGGUAUUCGUAUUUAACUGUCAGAGGUGAAAUUCUUGGAUUUUUUAAAGACGGACUACUGCGAAAGCAUCUGCCCAGGAUGUUUUUAUUGAUCAAGAACGAAAGUUAGGGGAUCGAAGACGAUCAGAUACCGUCCUAGUCUUAACCUUAAACCAUGCCGACUAGAGAUUUGGGUCGUCAGAAUCGUGACGCCCUGAGCACCUUAGGGGAAACCAAAGUCUUCGGGUUCCGGGGGGAGUAUGGUCGCAAGGCUGAAACUU